CCCUUAGAUGUUCUGGGCUGCACGCGUGUUACAGUCGGGAGUACAACAAGAUUGCAAAUCCUAGUGGAUGAGUGGUUCUUCGAAAUUUUCUGAAGACUGGGAUAGUUGAUUGAAAUUAUUCAACUCAAACGAGGAAUUCCUUGUAAUUGUAAUUCAUUAUAUUGUAAUGAAUACGUCCCUGCCCUUUGUACACACCGCCCGUCGCUCCUACCGAUUGAACGAUCCGGUGAAUUAUUUGGAGUAGCUCUGGAAGUUGCAGAACUUCCUAUGUCACGAAAUUUUGUAAACCUUAUCGUUUAGAGGAAGGAAAAGUCGUAACA
This 320-nucleotide ribosomal RNA is filed under the name uncultured eukaryote. Its description in RNAcentral is "partial 18S ribosomal RNA". It matches the Rfam family "Eukaryotic small subunit ribosomal RNA", at positions 1470 to 1796 of the family's 1831-position model. The record is from RNAcentral.